CACAUGCAUUGCCAACCAUAGAAAUAGAAUGAACAGAACGCACGUCCCCUAUUCAAGUCAAUGAUGGAAUAACGGGUGGACUGGGAGCCCUUUUGAGUAUACCCAUGCCUAGGUUGAAGAUAAAAGUGCUUUUCAGGUUCCCAUAAUAGGCCACCGUUUCUUUCUGUCAGGGUUCGCCGUUUUCCACGCGCAGAUCAAGCCCAUCUGGAUGACCCUUCUAGGUGCCUAAAUUGAAACAUGGAGGCAACGUUGCAGAACUGACAAGACAUCUGGCCGUAUCAAAAUGAGCAGAGACCCGUUCAUCCUUUUCCAUUGACUUUCCAAAGCAAUGAGGGUAUGGAAGGGACUGCAGAGAUUUUUGAGAGUGAUGUUUUCCAUCUUCCCGUGCUGCCAGUUGAGAGGACAAAAUUCGAAAGACAGUUACGUGGCAGGCUAUUCCUCGGAAGUCACUCAUGUCAGGCUUCUCCGAUGCACAACUGUGCUGCGCGGCUGUCAGCGUUGCGGUCUCAUUCAACACUGGAGACUUUGGCGCCAUCCCUGCGGACACCACUUCUGCCGUGAGUGCAUGGAUCAGAUCAUAGAUGAUGGUUUCCGCGACAUCGAGGGGCUUGGCUCAAGUCCCUGUCCACAGUGUAAAUCAGUUGUAGCCUAUUAAAUGUGUAACCGUGACUGUAUGUUAGUGCCUUUUUCUGAGUUUGUGUAACCUUUUCUUUUUCAUUGCACUUUGUAGUCCCUGCAUGUCCCUAUUGCCCAGGCAAUUCAACAGAACUAUGGUAUCAUCAAGACAAAGGACAAGCAAUACUACUUCACCACUUAUCUAGUCAGUCAGAG
Molecule: long non-coding RNA, 831 nt
Filed under: Salmo salar (Atlantic salmon)
Lineage: Eukaryota; Metazoa; Chordata; Actinopteri; Salmoniformes; Salmonidae
Description: lncRNA (ENSSSAG00000099037.1)
Source: RNAcentral